Molecule: ribosomal RNA, 396 nt
Filed under: uncultured bacterium
Lineage: Bacteria
Description: partial 16S ribosomal RNA
Rfam family: Bacterial small subunit ribosomal RNA
Source: RNAcentral
AUACGUUGGUGACAAGCGUUAUCCGGAUUUACUGGGCGUAAAGGGCGUGUAGGCGGCCUUGCAAGUCAGAAGUGAAAUUCCUGAGCUCAACUCGGGGGCUGCUUCUGAUACUGCAGGACUUGAGUGCUGGAGGGGAUAGCGGCAUUCCUAGUGGAGCGGUAAAAUGCGCAGAUAUUAGGAAGACCGCCGGUGGCGAAGGCGGCUAACUGGACAGUAACGGACGCUGAGGCGCGAAAGCGUGGGAGCAAACAGUAGUAGAUCCCCUGGUACCCCACGCAGUAAACGAUGAAUACUAGGUGUAGGGGGUAUCGACUCCCUCUGUGCCGCAGGUAACACAAUAAGUAUUCCGCCUGGGGAGUACGGCCGCAAGGUUGAAACUUAAAGGAAUUGGCGGGG